Molecule: unclassified non-coding RNA, 379 nt
Filed under: plant metagenome
Description: partial contains 5.8S ribosomal RNA, internal transcribed spacer 2, and large subunit ribosomal RNA
Rfam family: 5.8S ribosomal RNA (bases 1-106)
Source: RNAcentral
CGAAAUGCGAUAAGUAAUGUGAAUUGCAGAAUUCAGUGAAUCAUCGAAUCUUUGAACGCACCUUGCGCUCCUUGGUAUUCCUUGGAGCAUGCCUGUUUGAGUAUCAUGAAAUCUUCAAAGUAAAUCUUUUGUUAACUCAAUUUGUUUCUACUUUGGUAUUGGAGGUCUUUGCAGCUUCACACCUGCUCCUCUUUGUUCAUUAGCUGGAUCUCAGUGUUAUGCUUGGUUCCACUCGGCGUGAUAAGUUAUCUAUCGCUGAGGACACUGUAAAAGGUGGCCAAGGUAAAUGCAGAUGAACCGCUUCUAAUAGUCCAUUGACUUGGACAAUACUUUUAUGAUCUGAUCUCAAAUCAGGUAGGACUACCCGCUGAACUUAAGC